Molecule: ribosomal RNA, 614 nt
Filed under: Salmonella enterica subsp. enterica
Lineage: Bacteria; Pseudomonadati; Pseudomonadota; Gammaproteobacteria; Enterobacterales; Enterobacteriaceae
Description: partial 23S ribosomal RNA
Rfam family: Bacterial large subunit ribosomal RNA
Source: RNAcentral
GCCUUGAAAUACCACCCUUUAAUGUUUGAUGUUCUAACGUGGACCCGUAAUCCGGGUUGCGGACAGUGUCUGGUGGGUAGUUUGACUGGGGCGGUCUCCUCCUAAAGAGUAACGGAGGAGCACGAAGGUUGGCUAAUCCUGGUCGGACAUCAGGAGGUUAGUGCAAUGGCAUAAGCCAGCUUGACUGCGAGCGUGACGGCGCGAGCAGGUGCGAAAGCAGGUCAUAGUGAUCCGGUGGUUCUGAAUGGAAGGGCCAUCGCUCAACGGAUAAAAGGUACUCCGGGGAUAACAGGCUGAUACCGCCCAAGAGUUCAUAUCGACGGCGGUGUUUGGCACCUCGAUGUCGGCUCAUCACAUCCUGGGGCUGAAGUAGGUCCCAAGGGUAUGGCUGUUCGCCAUUUAAAGUGGUACGCGAGCUGGGUUUAGAACGUCGUGAGACAGUUCGGUCCCUAUCUGCCGUGGGCGCUGGAGAACUGAGGGGGGCUGCUCCUAGUACGAGAGGACCGGAGUGGACGCAUCACUGGUGUUCGGGUUGUCAUGCCAAUGGCACUGCCCGGUAGCUAAAUGCGGAAGAGAUAAGUGCUGAAAGCAUCUAAGCACGAAACUUGCCCCGA